Molecule: long non-coding RNA, 38986 nt
Filed under: Prunus persica (peach)
Lineage: Eukaryota; Viridiplantae; Streptophyta; Magnoliopsida; Rosales; Rosaceae
Description: long non-coding RNA (PPER_LNC002808)
Source: RNAcentral
UUUUUUUUUUUUUUUUUCUCUCCUUCAUUAUUCUGUACAUCCAUGGUUGAUGCAAAGAAAUCGAGAAGAAGAAUAUAGCAACGGAUUUCUUAGAAAGUACAUAUAUAUACACCAAAUGGGAAUUUCAUUCCUUAACACGAAAAACAAAUCCUGAAUUUCACAUCGGAGAUUGGCUUGCUCCGUGAAAUUGCAUCUUAGAUGUCAAGCAUCCUGAAAGAGUCUGCCACCACUUUAAGCUGGUUGCGGUAUCUUUUCCACCGCCUUUCAUUUGCUACCACAAUCAGGGUGUAAAAUCUCCCUGUAAGACACAACAUGCAACUUAGUAUUGAAUUUUGGAACUACGUUAGCUUCUUCAUUCGUGCAAGAAAUGAGAAGAAAAAAACAUGGAAUCUUUGGUAUGUUAGGUUGUCCGACUGGGAAUUUCGACCAGGUAGAUUCUUGUGCAAUCUAAAUAUUUGUUAAGAUGAUGGAUACUUACCAUUUCCAAUGGCUACGGUUGCAAAGGAAUUGGUAGCAAAGUUUGGAGUUUGAAGUCCAUACUCGACGGUGUAAUAGUUUUUCCCAUCUAUGUUUCUCUGCACUCCAUAGAUAGCCAAUGCAGGAGUUAUGAAGAUGUUAGAGUUGUACAGUGCAAGAGUUCUUCUAUCUAAAGAGGAUAAGAAUACAACCUCCUGCAUGCCAAAUAUAGUUGCAUACUGGUUGGGUGAAGCAAGUUUAUAUCUAACCAAAUCGGAAACAACCUGUUCAAAAUGGAAACUUGUCAAGGGCCACUUAAACUUCAUAGAGAAUAUAAAACAACCCAAACAAAAAAAAAAAAAAUGCAAAGGUUUUACCUCUUCCAUUGGACCCAAUUCGUGAAUGUCUGUUUUAUUCGUUGGUAAAAAUCUCACUCUAACAUUAUGCAGUUGCAUAUAUCUGUCCUUGAAGGCAGAGUCAUGUGCCCUGAACUCAAAAUCCUGAAAGAUGAAACCACAGAAAUUAUUCUGAUGAAGAAAGAGAUUUUCCCUGUGGGAAAGAUUAGGCUUCUGCAUAAUGUUGAUUUUCUUACCCUCCAAUCAUAGGGGUAGUAAUAAGAAUACCCAUCUACUUUGUCAACAAAAGCUCUGUACUUUUCCGGUAUUUCUUCACAUUGAAGAGAAUUGGUUACCAAUUUAUAACUCAGAGGAUAUAGUUUACAGAAAUACAAGUAUAGACAUCAUACCUUCAGCAAAGAGGGAGGUUGCUUGAAGUAGACUUGUAGUUAGUGCUCCCACUCCUAAGAGUAGCGGCCUUCUCUUGCAAUGGCCUGAAUUUCAUCAAGCUCAUCAAUCAGUUGAGGAUACAACGCUUAUUGGAAUCUGAUGAAGUUUGAAUCAAAAUCUUUGCAUCAGGGUGCAAUUAUUAUAUGUGAUUAUUUACCAAUUUAUAAUGACAAAUCUUUUUUCAUUUUGCCAAUGUUCGUAAGGAGUAGAGAGAAACUCACACACACUUGUAACAUGAGAGUUUGAACCCAGGACCUGAGAGCACCUCAAAGGCCUGAGCCAAUCCAACUAACACCCGGUGGUUAUAAUGACAAUUUAUAAAACAUAUUCUUCAGGAAAAAACCAUUUACACGAUACAAAUUAAACCAGGCAAUUAAUCAAGAACAAUGUAGGGGAAAUUCUCUAGAAAAAUGCACACAGAGCCAAAAUUCAAAUAAAUUGAAGCAAAACUCAGAAGCAAUGUUGGGUGCUCAUCAAUAUGGCAAGCCAUAAAUAUGCAACACUAAAAGAAAGAAAAAAGCUGGGAUGGGUAAUCUUACUUUCAUCAAUGGAGGCUGGCUCUGCUGAGCAUGUGAUGUUUUUGGAAGAAAAAUAAGCAGUGGUGGUAGCUCGUGGCAACUCAUUGUUGUGAUUAGGCAGAGUUAAUUGAAACUGGUGCAAAAACAAAUACAGGGAUUAGUCUUAAUGAAGAUCGCUCAAAGAUAUAAACUUGGUGCGUUUACCUUGUCAGGAAUGGUAGUGGAGACCCAGCUCAGUGAGAGAGAUGACGAAAUUGCCAUAUUUGAUUGUAAGAAGUGGAUGGUGGAGACUCAAGCUUUCAGUUCGGCUUUUUGAUGGGGGUUGAGUGGACUCUGGCCCGGCGAGCUCUUACACGGGACAUGCACGUGACUAAAAAGAAGGCUUGAUAGUAUUUAUUUUAUAUAUUUUUUUAAUAAAGUAAAAGGAAGGAAAUUGUGAAAUAUUUAAAAUACUAAAAAAUGUCAUUGAUUAAUCCAAACAUUAAGAAUUAAAAUUAUUAAUUAAAUGAGGAUAAUAUGAUAAAUUCACACUUUUUCAUAUUUAAAAAAAUUAAAAUUAAAUAAAAAAUCAGAUAAUGAAUCUAUAUAUAUAAAGCAAAAGGCAGAGAAUGGUGAAACAUUCAAAAUACCAGAAAAUGCCCUUGGUUAAUGCAAACAUUAAGAAUUGAAAUUAUUAAUUAAAUGAGGAUAAUAUGGUAAAUUCACAAUUUUUUGUAUUAAAAAAAUUAAAAUUAAAAGAAAAUUCAGAUAAUGGGUCCUAUUUUUAUGGAACACAAAUAUCCAUUAUCUUUUUUAAUUCUAAAAUAAAUUUAAAUUUAAAAAAAAAAAACCUCUUGCAUGCGCGGAAGCGCGUGCAGAGAGGCUAGUCCUAUUUUAAUGGAAUACAACUACCUAUUAUCAUCAUACUAAAAAAAAAAAAAAAACUACCCAUAUCUUUUUUAAUUCUAAAAUAAAUUUAAAGGUUUGGUUAUGGUUGGCCCAAUUGACCCAUUGAUGCGUGGGUUACUGGCCCAUACUCAAUUAUGGUUGGAAAGGUUUGGUUAGCAUCCUAAUAGGAACGGGAGAUUUUGCCUAUGACUUGCGUGACAAGAGAGGUGCUUUCCUAAGCACUAUAUAAACAGGGACUUCCUUCCUAGCCUAACCUAAUUUUCUGAUUGAGACACCAAAAUUAUCAUGAUGGAAGUGGACGGAGAAAAUCAUGAUGAGGGUUUGGAAAGAAAUUACCAGAGGAGGCCACAAACACGAAGAAGAAGUAGGGUGGAAGCAAUCGAGUGGACGCUGGAGCACCACAAGCAAUUCGUGGACACCAUGAACCGGUUAUAUUUGGGAGAUCUCACAGUUCGUACACCCAGGAGGGCGAUCCUGAUUGUGGAGCUCAUGAACAACGAGGCCUUGAGGCUUAUUCCCCGCUCAACUCUCUUGCACCACAUCGGCCUCUUUCAGCGUUUUCAGAGUAAUCAGAAAGCCAAUGCUCACAGUGUUUUGACGAGAGACUUUGAACGGCUUAACAUUAAUAAGGAGGAGAAGCAGGACUUGUCGUUUUCAUGGACACCGGUGUAUCACGAGGACUUGGUGGAGGCAGUGAUCCAGUUGGGUGGGCUUGGAAAGGCAACCGCAAAGGGCAUUCUGAAGCUGCUAGAGAACCACCGUGGCCUCACCGUCGAGGCAGUGUCGUACCAUCUCUUCAGGUUAAAGGAUUUACAGAAAAUGACUCAAACAUUUCAAGAAAAAAUCCACUGAUCGACUCAAACAUUUCAAGAAAAAAUCUACUCGUUAUCUUAUGAGAGAUAUAAUCUUUGUGUCUCUCGUACAUCUAAUAAAAUAUAGUUACAUGUGAAUAUAUCUCUCUGAGGAUUUAUUGUGAUUGUGUGGCUAGAUUAGUUAAUGAGAUGUAUUUUUUAUUAAUUGAAUAUGAAUAUUUCAGUUAUCUUGAAACUCUUUGUUGUGGUUUGCUCAUUCAGUGUUUUUUUUUUCUUUGUACAGAUGCUCAUUCAAUUUCUAAAUUUACCCUUCAAGAACUGGUCUCUUGGGCAUUUGAAUGUAUGAGUUUUGGUUACCCAAGAUGAUAAAAAACAAAAUAAAAUAUGAUGAAUUUCUGACCUUCUUUUCCAACACUUAAAAAAAGUUUAUUAACCAAAUUGUGGAUUUUAUAUUCCCUUUUUUCAAAAAUGGACAGAGGUAUUCAUGUUCUCCAUUGUAAACUAUGAAUAAGCAUAGGAUGAAUACAUUAGAAAGAGGACCACUACUUAAAUCAAACCAAGGGGAGGAGCAUGUGAUCAUCAUUAAUUAUUUUUUGCCAAGAUCACACUUGAACAAAAUUGCCAUGCUUCUGUUGAGCACCAGAGAUUUUGUAGCUUAAUUUAAACUAAUUUAAUCAGAUCACAUGCAACAAAUGAUUAUGUAUUUAUUUGUUACUGUAGCUGUAUAAUAAUAUAUUGAAUAUUUAAGCCUGGCCUGGAAGCUGCAAAUGGUUUGCAAAUGAAAGCAGAAUACAGUUGGUCAACACUCAACAGGGAAUCUGCUGACUGUACUAGAGAAAACAAACAAACAAACAGAGAAUCCUGUGGAUGGUGCCUUAAAGAAAAGGAAGAUCUAAGUUCUGGAAGAGGGUUUAAUGAUUUCAAGAAAGACACAUCACACUUAACACAUUUAUGAAACUUAGACUUGAAUCUGACAAUAUGUUUAACUGUAUUUUAAUAUUCUUUAUUAGACAGUCACUGGCUAGACCUUGGAAACAGCAUCUUCACUCACUAUCAUCCCUUCAACACAACCCCAAACUGCCUCUUUUUCCUCUUCCACUCAGAAAACUCUCUCUCUCUCUCUCUCUCUCUCUCUCUCAUAUUGUGUUUUUGUUCCUUCCACUGAAUCCCAGCCUUAUUAUUGUUAGUUCUUCCCCAAGUAGAUUGAAGAACAGGUAUGCUCUGCUUUCAUUUAAUUCUCAAGAUGAAGUCUGUGCAUACACAGCAUUUACAUACCAAAAUCAAGGCAAGGUUACAGGCUAUGUCAUCCUAGUGAUAUUAGUAGAAAUAUUUCUCAUUUCUGUAUACAAAAAUGGGUUGUCUAAAUGGGAUUUCCUUGAUUUGCAUUGUUCUUUGUGUUUCAUCAAUCCCAUCAGUUGUAUUUGUAUAUGCUUCGUUUCUUCCUCAAGAUCAAUUCUUCAUUGAUUGUGGGGGAAGCAAGGCAAUGGAGUUUGGGGAUGGCAGGGUUUUUCAGCCUGAUUCUGGGAACCCAUAUGUUACUUUAUCUUCACAAGGCCACACUGCAGUUUCAGAUCAUGAAACCAGUUUGUCAAACCACUCAAAUCUCUAUGCUUCUGCCCAGGUUUUUAGAGAAACUUCAUCUUAUACCGUUAACACUAAGCAGAUUGGUCGUCAUUGGCUUAGAUUGCAUUUUUACCCUUUUGAGAACCCAAAGUUCAAUUUGAAAUCUGCAGUCUUCUCUGUUGUGGCUAAUGGAAUUACACUGCUUCAUGGGUUUUCUUUUUCGGAAGUUGGCAAAACCUCUCAUCUAGUGAAGGAAUAUGUUUUUGAAGUCGAUGGAACAAGUUCUAAGAAACUGGUUCUUACAUUGUCACCUUGGAAUGGUUCAAUUGCAUUCAUCAAUGGGAUAGAGGUUGUUUCUGUGCCUGCUGGGCAAUUCCCAAGUACCAAAGUAAUGCCUGUUCCAUUGGGGCCUGCAGUUGAUGUUCCUAAACAUGUCACUUUCGAGACGGCUUAUAGGAUAAACAUGGGAGGUCAACAUAUAACCCCCAAGAAUGACUCACUGUGGAGGACAUGGGAUCCAGACCAUGCUUUUCUUGUCAAUGCUGCUGCGGCCCGGAACGUUACAGCCAAUCCCAGCAGAAUCAAAUACUCUGAUGGAGUUUCAGUUGAAAUUGCACCAAAUUGGGUUUAUGCCACAGCUCAAGAGAUGGCGGAUGCACAGGUCAGCAAUCAGAAAUUUAACAUUUCAUGGGCAUUUGAAGUUGAGCAUGGCUUCAGCUAUCUUAUCAGAUUGCAUUUUUGUGACAUUGUAAGUGUAGCUCUCAAUCGUUUGGUUUUCAAUGUGUAUAUCAACCAACAAUCUGCUCUAGACUAUUUUGAUAUCUCAAGCAGGACAAUGGCAUUAUCAGCAGCUUACUUCAUAGACUUUGUGACAAAUAUUUCGAUGGGAUCAAAUCGGAUUUUGGUGCAAGUAGGUCCUCCUAUGUUAAGAGACCUCCCAUCCAAUGCAAUCUUGAAUGGUUUGGAGAUUAUGAAAAUGAGCAAUCAUAGAGACAGCCUUCAUGCGAAUCUUCCAGGGAAUCAUAAAAUGGACACAAGAUCACCUGCAGGCAAGAAAAAGUGGAUGCUGCUUGCAAUUUCUUCUUCAGCAGCAGGGUUUGUAGUUUUGGUGCUCAUGUCAGCUGCCUUCUAUUUGUAUUGGCGUAAAAUCCAUCAAAAGAAGCUGAAGCCUCAAUGCUCAGCCUGGAUGUCAUUACCUAGCCAUUUGGGGAUUUCUGAUUCAAAAGUUUCCAUUUGCAGUUAUGAUUCCACAGCACAUUCUCUUAGUUUAGGCCGCAUUCUGGCUUUCUCGGAGGUUCGUGAAGCAACGAAGAACUUUGACAAGAGCUUGGUUUUGGGAGUGGGGGGAUUUGGAAAGGUUUACAGGGGAGUGCUAGAAAAUGGGACUGUGGUUGCAGUGAAGCGCGGAAAUCCAAGGUCACAACAGGGACUUACUGAAUUCAGGACAGAAAUUGACAUGCUAUCAAAGCUCAGGCACAGGCAUUUGGUUUCUCUGAUAGGCUACUGUGAGGAACUCAAUGAGAUGAUCCUUGUUUAUGAGUAUAUGGCCAAGGGUCCUCUGCGAAAUCACUUGUAUGGUUCGAAUCUUUCUCCGCUUUCUUGGAAACAUAGGCUUGAAAUUUGCAUUGGAGCUGCAAAAGGCUUGCAUUACCUUCACACAGGAGCAGCAGAGAGCAUAAUUCACCGCGAUGUUAAAACAACCAACAUACUUCUUGAUGAAAGCCUCACUGCAAAAGUGGCUGAUUUUGGAUUGUCAAAGCUAGGCCCUACAUUGGAUCAAACACAUGUAAGCACUGCAGUGAAGGGUAGCUUUGGUUACCUUGAUCCGGAUUACUAUCGUCGACAGAAGCUCACAGAGAAGUCAGAUGUGUAUUCUUUUGGAGUAGUUCUGUUAGAGGUCUUAUGUGCUAGGCCACCUAUAAACCCUGCCCUCCCUAGAGAACAGGUUAAUAUAGCAGAAUGGGCUAUGAGUUGGCAAAAGAAGGGAAGACUAGAAAAGAUUAUAGACCCCCAUCUUGGAGGACAUGUCAAUCUUGAAUCUCUUAGAAAAUUUGGUGAAACAGCAGAGAAGUGCCUGGCUGAAUAUGGAGUUGAUAGGCCAACAAUGGGAGAUGUUCUGUGGAAUUUGGAGUAUGUUCUUCAACUACAAGAGGCUUCUAUACAAACUGUUUCAUCUGAGAACAGUGCAAAUUACGUCCCAUACACGCCAGAAUGGCUCCCCCAAAUGAGUGAUCAAGAAUCUGAUGCAACAUCAAGUGCUGUGUUUUCUGAGUUGUUGGAUCCAAGAGGAAGAUAAAAUUAUCAAAGAGGGUGAGCAAUGAUCACAUACAUACUCGUACCAAUAUAGUUUUUUUUCCCCCUUCUCACUUAGUUUCAUGAUUUAUAUUAUAUUAUUGUUUGCAGAUCAAAAUGCAAAGGAAAUAUGAAGAUUUGAAUUGAUGGUCUAUUUCCAUACCCUAUUUGAUUGAUUUCCUAUUUUCAGUUUACCUUUUUUUCUUUUUUUAAUUUUUAUGAGUGUGUUGGGCCUGUGUUAUGAUCCAGCAACUUGAAGGCCAACACUAAGCGAAUAUCUUUGUUUAACCAAAUUAAGUUGAAAUGGCCCAGAAAAAUAAAGUUAUAUCCUUUUAGAAAUGAGAGAGAAGUAGAUGUAGGUUAGGUCAUUUGUUUAAAAUAGCGUCGGUUCCUUAACACUCGUGUUUGAUCCUUCUCUCUAUAUUAGAUUAGUUUAGAAUAUCGAACAAGAAAAACGUGAGAGAAAGAGUUUGCAAUAGGAUAAACUUCAAUCAUACAAAUGAUAUGAUGCAAAAUGAUCCACAUGAUAAAACAAAUCCUCCACUUAGCCUUAACAUCCAAGAAUUGGUUGGUCCAAUUAUAACAAAGAAAUUGAUGCACCUCCUUUGUCGGCAUACAGAAUAUUAGUUUGGAACGUUGUAAUUAAUGAGCGAUUUAUUUUUCCGACUUUUUCCCCAAAAAGAAUUUUCUCAUUUUUAGUGGAACUAAUAAUGUUGAUGGGCCCUCUAAUAAUAUAAUAAUAUGAGACUCAACUCAACAUUGUAAAAAUUAACAACAUAAUUAAGAAUCUAAUUAACAUUAUUUUUCUAUACAAACGACACAUCGCCGAUUGAAACAAUUCGGUCGUUGUGGGACCAUGACGACGCAAGUUUUCCUGCAGGGACCCACCGCCGCGCUACGAAAACGACACUCGUUUUGAAUAGUCAAACGUCGGUUCGUCCCACUCCAAAAACUCGCCGGCCAUUUCGCGCUCGCGCGCAUAACCAUUACACAAUCAUCAAGCGGGGCCCGCCACGUCACUUGGACGGCGAUCCUAAAUCUCCUCGGGCUAGUCUUUUGCCGAUUCAGCCGUAAUGAAAUUUCAUCACCACCACAAACGUGGGAGAGCCGUACCUGGACGAACGACGCGUCGCAUUCAUGAGCUGUAAAGCGACCGACAUGUGGCAUCGAGAAAAGCCCACUCCACUCUCGUCGCUCACUGGCCCUACAUAUUUACUACAUCUUUUUUUACCGCUGACCGGCUAGACCCGUUCCAUAGCCGUUGUUUCGGGUAUUUAUAGGGCAAAUCCUGUACUUGUAAAGUAAGCAGUCGACAGUGGAAGCUAAGAGCUACACAGAGAAACAAAAAGGAUUUGAAAGAGGAAUUUGAAGAAAAUGCCAAUCAAUAAAAUUGCAGUUGGGACGCCAGGAGAGGCAAGCCACCCUGAUGCCAUAAGGGCUGCCUUUGCUGAGUUUUUCUCUACGCUCAUCUUUGUUUUUGCUGGGGAAGGCUCUGGCAUGGCUUUCAGUAAGACCCAUCAAUUUCACAAUUUCAAUAUAUUUGUCUACAAAAUUGUUGUUACUCUUGCCAUGAUACACAUUGUUCAUUCAUUUCUUGACGGCUAGAUUGUUCAAGGUUUUCAAUCGUGAUCACUUUUCACAUCAACAUGGAUUGGUUUAUACUUUCUUUAUAUGUGCGAUACGUGAGAGAUAAAUGUUAGCUUGAUAUAUACCUUUUUCAAAGUAUGUGAUUAUCUAACUUUUUUUUUGCUUUCUAUUCCAAUCGGCUAAUCAAGGGAAGUUAAUUAAUUUUGACAGACAAGCUAACUAACAACGGAUCAACCACACCGUCUGGGCUUGUAGCUGCAUCAUUGGCACAUGCUUUUGCACUUUUUGUUGCGGUCUCUGUGGGUGCAAAUAUUUCCGGGGGUCAUGUAAACCCUGCUGUCACAUUUGGCGCAUUCAUUGGUGGCAACAUAACUCUGUUGAGAGGCAUUUUGUAUUGGAUUGCACAGUUGCUUGGAUCAGUUGUUGCUUGCUUGCUACUCAAGUUUGCCACCGGUGGAUGGGUUAGUAAUUAACUUGUUGGUCAACAUGAACGCGAACACGUGAUGCUAGCACAUCUACAUCAAUGACCAGGGUAGCAUUACGUGCUCACACACAAUUGACUGAUGCUAGCAUAACUUCUGUUGUCCAAGAUCAUUUAUUGAUUUUACGUGUCCCUAACUUGACGUUUUGAUUAUUCAUUUAACCCCUGCAGGAAACGGCAGCAUUCUCUCUGUCGUCUGGUGUGUCAGUCUGGAAUGCUCUAGUGUUUGAGAUUGUGAUGACCUUCGGCUUGGUCUACACAGUGUAUGCCACAGCAGUUGAUCCAAAGAAGGGCAAUGUAGGCAUUGUUGCACCUAUCGCAAUUGGUUUGAUUGUUGGUGCCAACAUUUUGGCUGGUGGUGCGUUUGAUGGUGCAUCCAUGAACCCAGCAGUGUCGUUUGGGCCUGCUGUUGUCAGCUGGUCAUGGACUCACCACUGGGUCUAUUGGGCUGGCCCAUUGAUUGGUGCUGCCGUUGCAGCGCUUGUCUAUGACAACAUCUUCAUUGGUGAUGGGGCCCACGAACCCCUACCCAACAAUGAUUUUUAGAAAGUUGUCCUUGCUUGGUUAAAGACGAAGGAUGCAAAUGUUUGUUCAGCUGAAGGGGCUCAUGGGAACUGAAUGAUCAAGUCAUGUUUCAUGUACUUUUGUUGUAGGUUUUACUUUUACUAGUGUUUUGUUUUGGUGAGGAGAGUACGUAGAACUCAGCUAGUAGGUUUGUCUUUUCAAAUCUUUGGAAAUGCAUUGUUUGUUUUAUGAUCUUCUGCUUCAAAUUGAUCUGGUAUCAUCUACUUUUACACUGAGAAAACAAAAACCAUGGGUUGUGGUGGCCGAUUGAUGAAAAGCAUGUUUAAAAGAUGAAAAUAUGUUAAGAACCACAAAUUUCAAAACAUCGAUCUAUGGGAAUUAUAGUAAAUCUUUAGACCCAGGUGAAGAAGUUUAGUAUCUUUUGCUUCUUCCAAAAACACAAGGGAACACUUGUUUUGCAUCCUUUCCAUGGUUUGCUCAAACUCUUUGGCCUCUCCCCAAGCAAUUAUCACUUGAUGCUGCUGUGAUUAGUGGCUCCACUGUAACUAGAUCCCUUCUUACGCAUCCUUUCUCAUUCUCUUGAUUUGUAAAUCCUUCUAACUUCACUACUUUUCAGAUGAGCCAAUAUUUUAUGGCUUUUGACUUCUCCCUUUCUAACUUUGACCCCCCAAAAAAAAAAAGGUAGAGUAGUGCUUGCCAUGCAGUAGCUUUUAGGAUCAUUUUGCACAUCUUUAACAUAUAGUAUAAAACCACAUAAUUGUAUAAGAUCUUUUAUUUUUUAAAGUUUUGGAACUAAGAGAAGGGUUGAAAUUGCAACAAACUUAAUGGUACUUGUAAAUCCCCAACAAUUAGUCUACUCUAUUAUUCGUGUUCGUGUUUCUUGAAAGGAAACAACCAAUAAGACAUUGGAAAUUUGUGCUUGGAGACUAUUGUUUAGGAAGAAGGAAGGCUAAAAGUCACUCUUGGUCAUUGUAGUUUAGCGCUUCAACCACUUUUAACUUUGUAGUUUCAAUUCCGUCAAUUUUGACCAUGUAGUUUUGUAUUUGUAGCAAUUUGAAGACAAACUAGUAUUCCCGUCAAUUUCUUUGACGGUACAAAGAGCAAUUUCGUCAACCAAAAUCCUUGAGAGCGUAAAAGCUUGUAUGAAACUCUCCCCAUUUCAUAUUAUGGCUUGAAAUUGACCAUUUGAGUUUAGGGUUUUUCAAAAAUUAGGAUUAGUGGUUGAAUUUCUAGCCCAAAUAUGAAAUGGGGAGAGUUUCAAAUGACCUUUUAUGCUCAAGAGUUUUGGGUUGACGAAAUUGCCUCUUGCACAGUUAAAGAAAUUGACAAGAAUACUAAUUUGUCCUUAAAUUGCUACAAAUAUGAAACUACAAUGGCAAAAUUGAUAGAAUUAAAACUACGGAGUCAUUGAAGUGCCAAAUUACAGGGAUCAAAAAUGACUUUUGAUGAGGGCAAAAUUGUGUGAUACUUCAGAGGACAAAAUGAUUUCCACAUUCACCAUUGUCUUCGGCUCAAAAUAAAUCACCAUGCAACAGUACUACGUCGUUCAAUCGACUACGCUUGCCUCCGUUUUCCCUACGAACCAAAACCUCAGGCCAAAACCUUAGGCUUCAGCGGCUUUGGCCCCUUGCCUUCUCAUUCUCUUCGGAGAGUUUCUUCAGUAAAAGCCAUCACUUCGUAAGAGUGCAGAGAUGGUUUUGUCAAACAAAAGGCUGAAGCAAAAGCUAAGAGAAACACUAGCUCAAUCCUUAGUAUAAUCAGUAGCUAAAACAGACAAGCAAACUGCCGGGUCAGAAAACCCGGACUCGAAUUCUUUUUAAUAUAUAUAUUAUUGGUAUAGUUUUGAUCUCUUGGACUACAAGGGUCCAAGAGAUUUAUGGUAACUCACCGUUAGAUGUAAAUUUAACGGUUCACUCACUUUUGCACUCUUUAAAUUUUUUUUUUUUUGAACCAUUGGAUUAAUAUCCAACGGUAGGUGACCACAAUCUCUUGGACUCCUGUAGUCCAAGAGAUCGGGACUGAUUAUUGGUAUUCAAUAACAUCCGAAAAUUAUGUGUAUAAUAUCUGAAUUUUGGGUGUACAAUUGAAAAUUUUGUAAAAAUCGAGUAUAUUAAAUAUGAAAAAUACAUACAUACGUGAAAAUGCUAAGUUUUUUAUACGAGUAAGAGCUCUGAAAAAGUAAAAACUCAAAAAGGGACAAUAGAAGCUCGGAUAAUGACCUAAUAGUAAUGGAUAAGGCUGUAAACUAUCCUUAUCGAUAAACAAAAAUCAGAGAAAAAUAAAUUUUUUUUUAUAAAUUUGACGGGGAAAAUGAAGUCGUAUGUAAAGCGUAUCGCUACUCAGUUAUACUAUUUAUUUUUUUAAAAAUGACCACAGUGCGGCUAUACUCUUUUUUAUGAAAAAAAAAAUAUCCCGAGUAUAGCUGCGCGGAUAUAGUAUUUUUUCAUUUAAAAAAAGGGGAAUAUAGCCGUAUGGCUAUACUUUUUUUAUUUUAAAAAACGCUGGGUAUCGCCGCGCGGCUCUACUAUUUAUUUAAAAAAACAAAAGGGCCCUUCUGGCGUCUAGCGCCCGCUUGGCCACUUGUCAAAACCGUAUAGCCGGGCGGCUAUACUAUUUUUAUUAUAAAAUAAAUCCGCGUAUAGCCAUCCGGCUAUACUAUUUAUAAAAAGGCCGCCUUGCGCCUCGCCCAUUUAGCCACGCGUCAAAAAUAGUAUAGCCGCGCGGCUAUACUAUUUUUAAAUAAAAACAGUGGUAUAGCCGGCCGGCUAUACUCUUUUUAUAAAAAAAAAACCCAGAGUAGAGCCGCGCGGCUAUACGAUUUAUUAGGAAAAAAAAAAGAGGGCUCCCGCAUUUUCAGGCUCAAAAUGUCGAGCCCAGGUCCAAGCACCGAAUCCACCAUUGGCUUCGGCCCAAAAUAAAUCUCUGAGCAUGCACCUGUACGACGUCGUUCAAUCGACUACGCUUGCCUCCGUUUUCUCUACGAACCAAAACCUCAGGCCAAAACCUUAGGCUUUGGCGGCUUUGGUCCCUGCCUUCUGAUUCUCUUCAGAGAGUUCUUCAGUAAAAGCCAUCACUUUGCAGAGAUGGUUUUGUCAAACAGAAGGCUGAAGCAAAAGCUAAGAGAAACACUAGCUCAAUCCUUAGUAGAAUCGGUAGCUAAAACCGACCCGCAAACUGAUGGGUCAGAAAACCCAGACCCGAAUUCGGAGCCCCAGUCGCUGAAAGUGCUCCUGGACUCUGUAACCCAGAAACCCAGAUUGUCCAAGCGAGAGAAACGUAGAAAGCUCCUUGCUUUGCGAGGUUCAGAGGCGGUGAGUGGGAGUGGCACUGGUGGCAAUUUUGAGGAAAACAAGGGCGAGGAAGAUAAAGGGGAAGUGGAGUCAGAGGAUUUGGGGGAUGAGAAGAAGGAGGAGAAGAAAAAGAAGAAGAGGAAGAGAGAUGAGGAGGAAAAAAAUGGAGUUUUGAGUUCAGAGGAAAAUGAGGUUGUGAAGGAGGAGGCUAAAAAGCCAAAGAAAAAGAAUAAGAAGAAGAAGAAGAAGAAGAAUAAGAAGAGAAAGAAGGAGGCAACGAAUGAGGAAGAGAAAAAGGAUGGUGAGCUUGGGAGUGAGGAGCAAAGUGUCAAAGAGACAAAUAAUAACAGUGAUAGGUAAUUUUAGACGAUACCCCUUGUGCUCAAAUUGAAUUUGUGCUCUUUUUUUUUUGUCAACUUUGUUUUGAUUAUGAUAUUGUUUAAUUAGAAUUUUUAGUUUAAUUUUUGUUGUUUUGGUAAGUUCAGUUUCUCUGUUCCUAUAUUUUAGCUCAACACUUGAACCCCUAGUGUUUAGAAAGUGUUUAGUAGAAGAUCAGUUGAUUUUGUAUGGGCGGCAAUUUAGAUUGAUCGGAAGAUAUCUGCUUUCUAUGUGAAAAUGUGUUCUAUAGUUUUUGCCUCAUUCUGUAUGUGUUCUGUCAUUUUGUUUAGGCAAACGAAUGGGGAUGUUCCUACAAAAGUUUAUGUUGGAGGCAUUCCUUAUUACUCUACCGAGGACGAUAUUCGAAGUUACUUUGAAAGCUGUGGCACAAUAACUGAAGUUGAUUGUCUGAGGUUUCCUGACAGUGGGAAGUUUAGAGGAAUUGCUAUUAUUAGCUUGAAGGUAAGAAAUUUUGUAAAUUAUAUUCUGCAUUUAAUUUGGGCAAAAUUAGAAAGCUGUGUAUUUAAGUCCUUGCCAAUGUAACUUAGAAUUGAAAUUCUCUUCACAAACCUUACAAGCAAAGUCUUGUGGUGGUGAUGGUGAGCUGCCAAAUUCUUCUGGCUCCUCCACUUUGGAUAUGACUCGUCAACAUGUUUGUGAAAAAAUCUUAAAAGUCAGUUAGUUGUAUUCUUAGUGAUGACACUAAGUAGCUGAUCUGCCUAAAUUCAGUUAAAUAAGUUUUCUAGAAUGGUAUAAGUUGUAUGGCCUAAUCUGUGGUAGAAAUAAUAGCAUCACACAACCUCUGAAUCAAUUUAUGCUAAUCUUUUGUUUUUCGAUUAUUGGAAAAUAUAAGUUCAUGCUGAAUACAAGAUUGUUUAUCGUUUCUCAUCUCAACAUUCUAAUGUUUCUACAGACAGAAGCUGCCGCUAAACGAGCCUUGGCUCUUGAUGGAGCUGAAAUGUGAGUUUGGUUCUCAUUGGUUAUUCAAUGUGUUGUAGAAUUGGCCAAUUCUCACGUGAUUCUAAUGGAACUUAUUGUCUCAGGGGUGAACUAUUUCUGAAAAUCCAGCCUUACAAGGCAACUCGAGCCAAUAAAGUAUCUGAUUUUGCCCCACAAAUUGUGGAGGGGUACAAUAGAAUCUAUGUUGGAAAUUUGUCAUGGGAUAUUACUGAGGAUGAUCUGAAGAAACUUUUUUCAGAUUGCAAGAUAUCGUCUAUACAUUUUGGUAUGGAUAAGGAAACAGGUGAAUUCCGAGGUUAUGCUCACGUGAAUUUCUCUGAUAGUCUCUCGCUGACGCUGGCAUUGAAGUUAGAUCAGAAGGUUGUAUGUGGAAGACCUGUCAAGAUAAGCUGUGCUGUACCUCUGAAAAGAGCAGGGACCCCUUCAAAUUCUGCACCUACAAAUUCAAGUACCCAUUCAAUAUCAGUAGCCCCAACCACAGGUGCCAAUACAAUACCAGUAGCUACAACUACAGAUACAGGAGCUGAUAAUACUGAGUUGAGUAACGUCAGUGGUAAGAUUAAGAGAAGGACAUGCUACCAGUGUGGUGAAAAGGGACAUCUCUCAUCUGCUUGUCCAAUGGCAGCAACUACGUUUUCAAGUACCCAUUCAAUUGCUGUAACUACAACUACAAGUGCUGAUUCGAUACCAGUAGCUACAACUACAGAUACAGGGGCUGAUGAUAUUGGGUUGAGUGCCGUCAGUGGUAAGAUUAAGAGAAGGACAUGCUACCAGUGUGGUGAAAAGGGACAUCUCUCAUCCGCUUGUCCAAUCACAGCAACUACAUUUUCAAGUACCCAUUCAAUAUCCAUAGCUACAACUAUAAGUACUGAUUCGAUACCAGUAGCUACAACUACAAGUACCAAUUUGAUACCAGUAGCUGCAACUACAAAUACCAAUUCGAUACCAGUAGCUACAACUACAGGAGCUGAUAAUGGUGGGUUGAGUGCCAUCGGUGGUAAGAUUAAGAGAAGGACGUGCUACGAGUGUGGUGAAAAGGGUCAUAUUUCUUCAGCUUGUCCAAAGAAGCAAUCUGCUGAUAACAAUGCAAGCAUGUAGGCAGUGUCCUAAGUUUUCCUGUUAACUAUAUGUAGGAAAAACAUAUUAUCCUUCUCAUCAAACUAUAUUUUUUCGAAUAGGCUGAAAAGCGACAGAUUGCGGCUUAGUUUGAGGCAAAGAUUUGUAGAACUGACAUGUUUCUUUCUUGUUGAUAAAGCAAAUUUUGAUUCUUGCUUAAACUAUGCAUGUCAAAAGGAACGAUUAAGUGUUUUCAUGUACUUUUGUUGUAGGUUUUAGGAGUGUUUUGCUUUGGUUUUAUGUUGUAAGAGGACAGUAGAUCUCAGCUAGUUGGUUUGUCUUUCCAAAUCAUUUGAAAUGCCUUGUUUGUUUUGUAUCUUCUGCGUGAAAUCGAUCUGCUAUCAUUUACUUGAAUAGUGGGAAAAUAAAAAUAUGGGGGUGUGGCAGAUUUUAAAAAAAAAAACAUGUUUAAAAGAUGCAAAUAUGUUAAGAACCACAAAUUUCAAAAUAUGUAUGGGUAUUUGGGCUGGUCUAAGAAGCAAAUUAUAGUUAAUCUUUAGACCAAUGUGAGCAAUGUUCUGUACACAGCUCAUUAAUAUCUUGUUCCAAAAACACAAAGGGAACUCUUGUUUUGCAUCCUUUCCAUUCCAUGGUUGCUCAAACUCUUUGGCCUCUCCCCAAGCAAUUCUCAUUUGAUGCUGUUAUGAUUACUGGCUCCACUCCACUGUAACUAAAUCUCUUAUAUGCUCUGCCAAAGAGGUCUCAUUCUCUUGAUUUGCAAAUCCCUCCAACUUAAUUACUUUCAGAUGAGGCAAUAUUGUAUGGCUUUUGACUUCCUAAUGACAGAGCUGUGCUUGCCAUGCAGUAGCUUUUAGGAUCAUUCUGCACAUCGUUAGCAGAGUAUAACUGUGUAAUGAGACUCGACCAAAAUGCCUUUGAUGAACCUCGAGUCGUGCUUCUCUGUCUCUGGGGAAAGCUCCAACUCCAAGUGGAGUUUAUUGUUGGCUGCAAUGGUGACCAAGAGGAGAUAUUCACCACCUUUGCCAAAUUGCAAUUUCAGCCUCCUGGGAUGCCUUAAGGGAUCAACUUUGUCAAUAAUGACAUAGAAAUCCAACAACCACAUCGGCAGCAGCAUCUAUAGAGAGUACGGCCGAACGGCUAUACUCCAAAAUAGAAUAUUUUAAGGGUACAGCCGCGCGGCUAUACACCAAAAUACUUCAUAAAUAUAAAAUUAAAGCUUAUAUCCGCUCGGCUAUACUCCAAAAUAUAAUAUUUAAAGAAAUAGAAUAUUUUAAAAGUAUAGCCGCCCGGCUAUACGCUGUGAAUAUAAUAUCUUCUCUUAAAAGUAUAGCCGAUACGCUGCUGCCUGUUUCACUAAAGUUGUGUUCUUGAAAGCAAACUGGUUUCUAAUGCGGAUUCUGAAGGGAGAAAAGAAACAAUGCGGCAGAUAAUCUCAUUCGGCAACUUACCAAACAAACAUCUGUGUUUUCCUUCAUCAUAUCUCUAUUUGGCUAAUUGCCACAAAUCCCAUUUGGUAUAAGUUUACAUUAGUUGAACUUGAAAGAACCAUAAUAAUAUUAGAUAUAAUGUUUUUGCAUUGGAUUUCAAGAUCUUUAUGCAUGUGUUGUUAGCAUUUGAUGGAUUGAGAAAUUUAUAACCAUGAACUGAAAUGAAAAUCUCAGACCCAAUUUUGAGUCUAUACAAUAAUGCCAAAAAGUUGAAUAUGGCUAAGCUUCUUUUGAGGUUGAGUUGUUGGCUUUGCACAAACUUGUAAGCUCUCUCGUCUUUGAUUUGAAUUCACUUUUUAUAAUACAUCCUCCCCUGAAAAUCAAGGUCAGGGAAAGAUGGCCUUGUACAAAUAAGAUAAGGGAAGAUUGUGUCAACGCAAUUUCUAAAUAAAAUAAAGACUUAUUUAUUGUGGUGCCUUACGAAAUCAAUAUUAUACGAAGAAACAUAAUUAUAACGAAAAUGAUGCCGUUACCUACCUAUGUCGAAUAUGACCUUAUCUCAACCCUAUUUGUCAAAUAUAGGUAGAGUAGCCUGAACAAUAUCUUGUUAGAAAUGAAUAGAUUGUGGAGGUUGAUAUAAACUUUCGGAAUUUGCUUUGAUGUCUAUAAAAUGAAAAAAUUGUUUUCGAAACGUAACAUGGGUACCUAACAAAAAUUGUACAAGUUUUUUUCCAUUUUGGGACAUGAAUGAAGAAUUGUUUUGUUUUCAGUUCUCUCUUCUGCUUUAUUUCCUUUUCUGCCCCUUUCUUUUGGUCGGAAAUUUCCUUUUGUGUUUCUCGGGUACCUAAUAAUUGGUAUCAGAGCCGUUCCGACCAUGGGACAGCAGGGAUACCCACCGGCGACGCUGCCUCACUAUCUUCCACUCGUCUAUUUUCCCGAUCCUACACUCCCACCGCCAUGGACUGGCAUGUUCGACGGUAACCUUGCGGUGGUGUACUAUUGGAACCCCCAAACCAACGUUGCUCAGUAUGAACAUCCAGCCUCUUCCAGUUACCCAACCACCCAUCUCAUCAAUUCUCCAAUCCCCCAAUUUUGGAACUCACAUUUGCCGCUGGACUACACAACCAACUCGCCUCACCGUCUCACAACAUCGACGCCCACCGAUCUUGCUGCACCCUCUAACGUGGGAACCGGCUCCGUUGCACAUCCGCUUCAUACCUCUCUGGAAAUCCCAGACCCAAAUUCAAAGCCCCAAUCGCUGAAAGUGCUUCUGGACUCUGCAACUCAUAAACCCAGAUUGUCCAAGCGAGAGAAACGUAGAAAGUUCCUUGCUUUGCGAGAUUCAGAGGCGGUGAGUGGGAGUGGCAGUGGUGGUAAUUUUGAGGAAAACAAGGACGAGGAAGAUAAGAGGGAAGUUGGGUCAGAGGAUUUGGGGGAUGAGAAGAAGGAGGAGAAGAAAAAGAAGAGGAAGAGGAAGAGAGAUAAGAAGGAAGAAAAUGGAUCUUUGAGUUCAGAGGAAAAUGAGGUUGUGAAGGAGGAGGCUAAGAAGCCAAAGAAAAAGAAUAAGAAGAAGAAGAGAAAGGAGGCAAAGAAUGAGGAAGAGAAGAAGGAUGGUGAGCUUGGGACUGAGGAGCAAAGUGUCAAAGAGACAGAUAACAGCAGUGAUAGGUAAUUUUAGAUAGUAGCCUUUGUGCUCAAUUUGAAUUUGUAUGUGUGUUUUUUUUUUGUCAACUUUGUUUUGAUUAUGAUAUUGUUUAAUUUGUUGUUUUGGUAAGUUCAGUUUCUUUGUUCCUAUAUUUUACCUCAACACUCGAACCGCUAGUGUUUAGUAGAAGAUUGGUUGAUUUUGUAAGGUAUGGGAGGCAAUAUAGAUUGAAUGGAAGGUUUAUGCUUUCCAUGUGAAUAUAUGUUCUGUAUUUUGUGCCUCAUUCUGUUUGUGUUCUGUCAUUUUGUUUAGACAAGCGAAUGGGGAUGUUCCUACAAAAGUUUUUGUGGGAGGCAUUCCUUAUUACUCGACUGAGGACGAUAUUCAAAGUUACUUUGAAAGCUGUGGCACAAUAACUGAAGUUGAUUGUCUGAGGUUUCGUGAGGGUGGGAAGUUUAGAGGAAUUGCUAUUAUUAGCUUUAAGGUAAGAAAUUUUGUAUGUAUUAUUUUCUGCAUUUAAGUAAGGUACAAUUAGAAAGCUGUGUAUUUACGAGUCAUAUCCAAAGUGGAGGACCAGGAUAAUUUAGCAGCUCACCACUACUAGACUGUGGUAGAACUAAUAGCAUCACACAACCUAUGAAUCAAUUUAUGCUAAUCUUUUGUUUUACGAUUAUUAGAAAAUAUAAGUUCAUGCUGAAUACAAGAUUGUUUAUCAUUUCUCAUCUCAAUAUUCUAAUGUUUCUACAGACAGAAGCUGCCGCUAAACAAGCCUUGGAUCUUGAUGGAGCUGAAAUGUGAGUUUGGUUCUUUUUGAUUACUCAAUUUGUUGUAGAAUUGGCCAAUUCUCUCGUGAUUCUAAUGGAACUUCUUUUUGUCUCAGGGGUGAACUAUUUCUGAAAAUCCAGCCUUACAAGGCAACUCGAGCCAAUAAAGUAUCUGAUUUUGCCCCACGAAUUGUGGAGGGGUACAAUAGAAUCUAUGUUGGAAAUUUGUCAUGGGAUAUUACUGAGGAUGAUCUGAAGAAACUUUUCUCAGAUUGCAAAAUAUCAUCUAUGCAUUUUGGUAUGGAUAAGGAAACAGGGGAAUUCCGAGGUUAUGCUCCCGUGAAUUUCUCUGAUAAUCUCUCGCUGAAGCUGGCAUUGAAGUUAGAUCAGAAGGUUGUAUGUGGAAGACCUGUCAAGAUAAGCUGUGCUGUACCUCUGAAAAGAGCAGGGACCCCUUCAAAUUAUGCACCUACAAAUUCAAGUACCCAUUCAAUAUCAGUAGCCCCAACCACAGGUGCCAAUUCGAUACCAGUAGCUACAACUACAGAUACAGGAGCUGAUAAUACUGAGUCGAGUACUGUCAGUGGUAAGAUAAAGAGGAGGACAUGCUACCGGUGUGGUGAAAAGGGACAUCUCUUGUCCGCUUGUCCAAUUUCAGCAACUAUGUUUUCAAGUACCCAUUCAAUAUCCAUAGCUACAACAAGAAGUACUCAUUCGAUACCAGUAGCUACAACUACAAGUACCAAUUCGAUACCAGUAGCUACAACUACAAGGACCAAUUCAAUACCAGUAGCUGCAACUACAAGGACCAAUUCGAUACCAGUAACUACAACAACAAGGACCAAUUCGAUACCAGUAACUACAACAAGUACAGGAGCUGAUAAUGGUGGGUUGAGUGCCGUCAGUGGUAAGAUUAAGAGGAGGACAUGCUACCGGUGUGGUGAAAAGGGACAUCUCUUGUCCGCUUGUCCAAUUUCAGCAACUAUGUUUUCAAGUACCCGUUCAAUAUCCAUAGCUACAACUACAAGUACUGAUUCAAUACCACUAGCUACAACUACAAGUACCAAUUCGAUACCAGUAGCUACAACUAUGAGGACCAAUUCGAUACCAGUAGCUACAACUACAGGUACAGAAGCUGAUAAUGGUGGGUUGAGUGCCAUCAGUGGUAAGAUUAAGAGAAGGAUGUGCUACCGGUGUGGUGAAAAGGGACAUCUCUUAUCCGCUUGUCCAAUUUCAGCAAUGUUUUCAAGUAUCCAUAGCUACAACUACAAGUACUGAUUGAUACCAGUAGCUUUAACGACAAGUACCAAUUCGAUACCAGUAGCUACAACUACAUGUACAGGAGCUGAUAAUGGUGGGUUGAGUGCCAUCAGUGGUAAGAUUAAGAGAAGGAUGUGAUACGCGUCUGGUGAAAAGGGUCAUAUAUCUUCAGUUUUUCCAAAGAAGCAAUCUGCUGAUAACAAUGCAAGCAUGUACAGUGUCCUACGCUUUCCUGUUAACUAUAUGUUGGAAAAACAUAUUAUCCUUCUCAUCAAACUAUUAUUUGUUCGAAUAGGCUGAAAAGCCACAGAUUGCCGCCUAGUUUGAGGCAAAGAUUUAUAGAACUGAGAUGUUUCUUUCUUAUUGAUAAAGAAAAUUUUGAUUCUUGUCUAAACUCUCCAUGUCAAAUGGAACGAUGAAGUGUUGCCAACGUGGGUCUAGUCUAGUAGAAAAGGGUAUUGACUUGUUAGGGUUAUCAGGUUCGAACUUUCGUGACACCUUGAUAGGGUUAGUGUGUAUAUGAGAAACCUCCUCCUCUUAUAGUUUAGACUAAUGAUUGUAUUUAUAAGUUUAUUUUUUAUUUUCUAAAAAGAAACGAUGAAUUGUUUUCUCUAUCGCUUUUGUAAGUUGUGAAAACUGAAUUGGUAUUCUUCUCACUGUUAGAGGAAAGUAUAUAUAGAGCCAAGCUAAGCUAAGCUGUCUUAACACUUCCGAUAUGUUCUUGAAAAGACCAAUGAUUUUUUCAGAGUUAGCAGACUAUGGUUUUCUUUGAAGAUGGGCCUAACUGAACCUGAGCCAACCCAACCAAGUACAUUAGAACAUUUAUAGGCCGAAGUACUUUCAGAUAUACAAAGUCUUGUGGGGCCAUGCCCAUGUAUACUGUACACACAUUUUAACGUAGGACAAAAAUGGCUUCUUAUUUUCUCUAAAUAAGAUCAGAAUUUUUUAUUUUUUAUUUAUAAAUAAGAUCAGAAAAAGUUUAAGAACACUGGUGUGAUGGUUCCAAAACUUAUGAUAUGUCUAAUGAGCUCCCAAACCAUCAUGGAUCCUUAACCAGCAUGAGCUGAGACGAAAGUUCACUCUAUAUUUUCUUUCAAUCUGUAAUUCUUAUUACUUGGGAAAAAAAGAGAAAAAAGAUUGAACCCUCAAUUUUCUCACCCUACCUAGAAUGUAUGUCUAAAUUUUACAUAAAAUGAUUUCAUUUACCCUCUAUUUGAAAGGAGAAAAAUAACUCGGAAUUUAGCCAAACUUAAAAAAUUGAAGAGGAUUUAACUAAAAGUCGGGAGUUUUCUUGAAAAUGAUAUAAUUUGGUUAUAUAUAAAUUUAAUGAAGUAUAUAUUACGGUCUUCAGUUUUUUUUAUUGGAAAAAAAAAAUCAAAUUAGAAGCUGUUAAGAUGAGGUGGAGAAAAGCUUGGAACUAGGUUCAAAAGUAAAAUUGCAAGGAAAAACAAAAAAGACAGAUUUGGGAGCUGGGUCAACCAUCAUCCCUUCAUAAAUUAUUGACAACAAACAUUUCAUUUCCUUCUUUCAAGCACGCCAAUAUUUUUUGGCUGCCAUUGGAUGAAUUUUUCCACUUCAAUUUUAACUUUGAUUCACCAAAUACAUUGCUGGUAAAAUACUUCAAUGUUUGUUUGUUUACAAUAAUAUGUGAGUAUCAUGCAAACUCAUAAUUUUUUCAUUUACGGCACAAAAUAAGUAAAUAAAUAACAAUUGGUAGUGAGUGGAGCUUUGUAGAAGAAACUUUUUUUUAAUCAACGAGGGAUGGGAAUGGCUUAUGAGGUCUAGUUUAGUGUAAAUCCUUAGAUUUAUAGAUUAAUGAUUUUAAGUUUAAACUCUGGUGAAAUAUUGGCAUUGUGUGUAAGAAAAUUCCUUUUCCUUUCCGAUGUUGACAAAAAAAAACCGAGAGAUGGUAGUUUCGAACAUAAACCUCUUGUAAACUUGAGAAGAAAACUAUCAUUAAACUAAAAAAGAAUUAAUAUUUUUUCGGUUGUUGAAAAAGAGAUAUAUAAUAAAUAGACAAACAGAGCGAAAGAAAGAGGUAGGAAGUCCCUCAUGUCCAGAACUUAACAUUCAUUGUCUUGCCCUGAACAAAAAUACCAACCCGCGUCACUUGCAAUCACAACUUGUUUGGCUCCCUCCACACCUCUCAACCUUCUCCUUCACGUAUUUUUCUUCAACUUUUUAACACUGGCAUUGCAUGCUUUGAAAUCCGACAAAAUUUAGCACCUGUAUUUAUAUGUCGCGCAUCACAUAUAUGUAUAUAUAUACAAAGUUACAAACCUUCAUCUUCUAACCCCACCCUUUAAGCCAAACCAUCUUCUUCCACAUAUAUAACAUAUAUGCAUCAUGUUCCUUUUGCUCAACAUCUCUGUUUCUUCCGUUGUCUUCAAAUUGGAGGUUUUUGAUUAAUGGGUUUUCUCCGUCUCCCUCUGAAUUGUAUGAGAUUCUUUAAUUUUCUUGGUUGACACUUGAGCCUUGACUUGCCCGAGUUUGUUUUCUUCAAAGUCUUGAAAUGGGACCCGUUAGAGGGAUGAAGAGGAGGAAGAAGGCAGAGAAGAAGGUUGACCAGAAUGUGUUAGCUGCAGCUGCUUCACUGAGUUCUCAACCCCAGCCCGUCGAUUGGUGGGACGACUUCUCUCAGAGAAUAACUGGUACAAAUAUUCUUCAAGUGCUUUGCGUUUCGCAUUAUCUUUUACUUGGGUUGUUGGUUAAUUUGUUUUAUUGGGUUGACUGUAAAUAUAUGCAUUGGUUUGGCUCUCAGUGGGUAUAUCUGGUUUGUUGUGUAUGAGUAUUUGAUGAUAUAUUAGGACUUGGGUCCAAUGCAGUUUUGAAGAAUUGGAUUGAUUUUAUAAUGCAUGUAUGUUUGUUGUGAUUGUGCAUAAAGGAUUAACUUCAGCAAGUGGAUUUCUGGUAUAUAUUAUUACAAUCUAACAGUUCUUAGCUUCUGUUGAUUUGAUUUAUCGCGCUCUGGUUUCUCCUACCUCAUCGAUAUUGCUCAGACAGAGCACAGCAUGCCUAGUGUGGUGAUAAUUGAAGCCACCAUUUUAGGUUUUCCUUGUAUCAGUGAAAUCUAAUGACAUAGGUUAAUACUCAAUUCUGGUGUUAACUAUAAGAUUGAGUUUUUAUAUUUAUUAUUUCCUUGAAAUAAAAUGAUGCAAAUUAAGAACUUUGUUAGCAGUUUCCUGAUUUAUAAUUCUGAAAACGAUCAAGACUUUCUUUGCUGGUUAUGUUAUUGUUGUUUUGUUGAUUUUUAAUGUCUCUAUUAGCAGGCAAUCCUGUUAGUGUUUAUAAGGGAAAUUUGGUCUAAGUAUGUGCUGAAAUUCCAAAACAGACUACAUCUAGUUCUCAAUUAUUAGAUUGUUAGAUUGUAGUAAUGUAUGAUGAUGUAUGUUUUUCUUGAGAUAAGAUUGCGGUAAACAUUUAUAGUAUAUGCAUUUUCUUCUCUUCAGCCUUUUUGUAUAUUAUCUUGAUACUAUCAAUUCAGGUUCAUCAUCGUGAAUAUGCCCUGUAUUCUUGAUUAGAUUCUGGAAAGCCUGUUUGUAUGCUUGACCACUGCUUACUUAGUUACCCAACAUAUAGUUAUAGGGAUCUCUUGGCAUUGGCUUUCAAUGGCUUUUGCUUAGUGUUGUGCUAUUUCCUAAGAACAAUGUAUGUUUGGAUGAGGGGCCACUAUAAUUGAAAAAGUAGCCGUCCUGGAUUCUUGAUUCUAACCCUUAUUGGGAUUGGACUGGCCAAAAUCAGUUCUGCAAAAAAUUGAAACAAAGUGAGAGAACUGAUUUGGAAAACAUUUGUAGGCAAACAAAGAACAAUCUGGCACAUAUGUUUUGUUUUCGUUGUGUCCUGAGAUGACAAGAUUAGGUUCAGAAGUCUCAUUUGUUAGUUGAAGAGUAUUUAUUCUGAUGAGAUGUUGAUAAAAACUGUGCUCUUUAUCUUCUUGUAUGUUAAGUUAAUCUAUAAAUUUCAAAUUCUGUUGACAAAGAUAUCCUCUAGGUUUGGAUUGUUCUAAUUUCUUUGUUUAAAACAAUACAAAGUGCUGUUCUUUAAUGAAAAAGGUGAACUUAUUGCACUUUUCUGUACUUUUCUUAUGAAAUCAAAAUAUGCAGACUUCUCAAUUGAGUCUUUCCAAUUACAAAUGAGAUAGCUUUCCUACAGAGCAUUUAUCUCUUAUAUGCUGCUCUGUUAAACAUUUUAGGGGGAUCCAUUGUGGGAAGCUCUACCAUUCCUUGGCCUGAUCAGGUGGGAGAGUAGUUCACAGAACUAAAAAGCUGCUUGUUUAGUCCAAAAUGAGAUUAUCAGUAUGCUUAUCUGGAUAGAGUAGGUAGCAUAAUCAUUAAAAAUGAUGAUGGGAAUCUAGCAAACUAAUUUUCUUUGGUAGAAGUAAAAAACAAUCAGUUGUUGUGGUUUGUAAAAAUUUAAGAAGAAAAGGAAACAGUAAGCAAACGAAGACUGAAACAAAGUAGGCAAACGAGAAUAAGUACAGUGGCGUUAUCUGCCUUUUCAUUUGGUGUUCUUUUAGUGUUUACAAAUAUGCUCAUUUUAUCAUGCAUUCAAUGAUUUUGGUUUGUGCAGUCUUAUUGUUAAGAAAGAAAAUUUUCCCAGAAUAAGUUUGAGGUCUCCUGCUAGUUGUACAGCAGAAAGGCAUAAGGUUUUAGCGAUGUGAUUAUACCAAAUACCUAAAGCCCUGAAAGAUUAGCUUUCAAACAUUUGCUUAACGAAGUAAUUAUUAGCAAGGAAUUGAUUUUUUUGUAAUAGUUUAGCAAAUAACUUUUUUCAAAAGUCUUGCUAUGUGAAAUGACUUUUGGUUAUGUUGUUGUGUGAGGAACUUAAAUUUGCACCAUCUUCUUUUUUGACUUUGCUUGUGUUCGAGUCGACUACAAUUUGGACUAUAUCAAAACUCUUAACUCUUGCGAUUAAAUGAAUUAUAUCCUCUUCUACAAAGGUUUCUAAUCUUUUGGUUCUGCUAUGGGAAUUGACAUAGAGGUUCUGAAAACUCACAUUGAUAAAUGAUUAUAUUUUUGUUCUCUACUUUCUAGGCCCUUUAUCUCAAUCAAAAUCAAAAGAUAGAAUGAAAUUUGAAUCUGUCUUCAAAGUUUCGAGAAAGACAUUCAGUUACAUCUGUUCACUUGUAAAGGAAGAUAUGAUGACUAGCAGCUCAAACUUCAGUUAUUCAAAUGGAAAGCAGUUGUCUCUAAAUGACCAAGUUGCUGUUGCUCUUAGGAGGCUUAGCUCUGGUGAGUCCUUAGUGAGCAUCGGUGACUCAUUUGGGAUAAACCGAUCAACCGUUUCUCACAUUACCUGGAGGUUUGUGGAAGCAAUGGAAGAAAGAGGGCUGCACCAUCUUUGUUGGCCUACAAAGCAUGGUGAAAUGGAGGAGAUAAAGUCCAAGUUUGAGAAAAUCCGCGGCCUUCCAAAUUGUUGUGGUGCAAUUGACAUCACACACAUCCUGAUGACCCACCCUACACCGGGCUCACCAGAUGAUGUCUGGCUCGAUUGCGAAGAAAAAUGCAGCAUGAUCUUACAGGCAAUCGUUGACCCGGAUAUGAGGUUCCGUAACAUUAUUACAGGAUGGCCAGGAAGUUUGAGUGAUGAGCUAGUCCUUCGGAGUUCAGGUUUUUUCAAGCUGUGUGAAGAAAGAAGUUGUUUAAACGGGAAGAAGUUGGUGCUUUCAGAAGGAACAGAAGUAAGAGAAUACAUAGUUGGAGAUUCUGGUUUUCCUCUCUUGCAAUGGCUUUUCACUCCUUACAAGGGGAGAGAGCUCUCAAACUAUCAGUGCGAGUUUAACAAGCGGCUCUCUGCGACGCAGAUGGUGGCGCGCAGGGCGUUGGUGAGGCUGAAGGAGAUGUGGAAGAUAAUUCAAGGGGUAAUGUGGACGCCUGAUAAGAACAAGUUGCCAAGGAUUAUUCUGGUUUGCUGUAUUCUGCACAAUAUAGUUAUUGAUUUGGAGGAUGAGGCGCAAGAUGAAAUGCCCUUGUCUCAUCAUCAUGAUUCUGGUUACCGGCAACAAACUUGCGAAUCUGCUGACAAUACUGCCUCUCUCCUGAGAGAGAAGCUUGCUAUUUACUUGUCUGGAGAGAAGAACCUUGCUUCAGUCUUACCUGGUUGAAAUCGGAAAUCUUAUAAUAUUUUGGGGAACUUGCUUUUGUAGAAACUUUAGUUCUAAAUAUAAUUUUGGCGGAAUGAAUCUCUCGCUCAAAUUGUGUUUCUUUUUCACAUGGGUUUUUUUAAAACAUAAUUGAAGGGUUUGCUUUGUUUCUUUUGUCAUGCAAAAAACGAUCGAUGUUAUUGGCAACAGAAAAAAUAUAUAUUUAUAUAUGCAAGCUGGGCAAGAAAUCCACACCAGAAUGAGGUAACCAAUAAUCCACGAAUUACAAAUCACAUUCUCAAAGGCAAUGCAAUACAAUAGUAAACCAAACUCAAGUCCAUAGACUAUAAACAGGUCACAUAAAAACCACAUAGUAUAGAGAUGACCCCCUCCAGUUGCUGAGCUGAUGCUUAACAUUCAAGUCGCCCGGCUUCUAAUAACAUCAAGGCCCAUUUCGGUUGGAUCGGUAGCUUGCAACUCUACCUGAAUACCGUCCAACUCUCUCUUAAACCUGUCCUUCGAACUAGCAUAGAUCAUUUUGCUUCUCACCUUCGAUGUGUCAGGGGACCUUCAUACAUAGAUCUUAGAAUGAGUGCCCCGAUCAAAAGGAAGAUAAAAGAAUAAUUACAAUCAGAGUCAAACUCUAAAAGUCUAAUUAUUACCAAGCAAUGAAAAUAAUCCGGCUCUUCUGGCAGUUCUCCUCAGUCACAUAAUCAAAGUCAUAGACAGCGUAUCGGCAUUCAUCAGCAGGGAGGCUUGCAGAGAAAUCCUCGUAGCUAUCAGCUGGUUCACCCACCUUUUCCACUAUAACCUGCUUUUGCUUCUCCUCUAUCUUGUACACUAUGAAGCGGUAAGUUCGUUUUGCCUUCAAUUCUAAAAACUUUAGCUUGCAUUCAUCAUGCACAGCCAUCCCAGACGCUGCGUUUGCCUGGAGAAAUUUAAUCGAUACCGAAUUGCAUCAAACACCAACAAAGCAUCACUAGAAAUUCCUAUAAUUACACCCAAAAGCUUCUCCAAGCAUAACUGUUACAUAUGCACCCGAAAGUUUGACACCAAUCAAAAUCCCAAACAUCCUAAAACAGAACACACACUGCUUUUCUUCCCCUCGGCUUAUAAACUCUCACUUCAUAGUUCAAACUACAAAUGCUCAUGAGUGUCGUCAAGCAUAUCAUAAUUCAAAACUAUUAACAAAAGUAAAAUGAAUGAUGAAGCACAGGCAUACUGAUAUACUUACCCUUUAAAAAAUUAAGCACCACUACUACCAAGCAAAAGAAAAAGCAAAAAAGAAAUCCAUAUGAAGGAAAAUCCUGAAUAUAGCCAGGAAAUAAAAUCUUAGGCUGAGUAUUUUUAGCCAUUGCAGUAAUCAUACCAUAUGUGAAUCAAUCAAAAUCAAAAUGCACACUGGCACUGCAAUUAAGCAUGAAGACAAUAACGAGAGGCUCAAAAAUUGUAGAAAAUUCAUGAAUCAAUCAUGAUCAAGUAAUUCGAAUCAUACGAUUGAAUAUCACGACUGAAUUGAAAACUAACACGCUAUCUGACGAAACUUAUACUCCACCACAGACGAAUUUCACGAAUUUUUCCCAAUCAAGCAGUCAAAAUUACUAAGAUCGAACACCAAAAUCGCAGAGAUUAUACUAAAGAGAAUCGUUAAGCAAACAAAAAUUUAAAAUAAUAACACUAGCAUGCAAAACCCUAUAGAGAGAAGACUGAAGUAGAGGAAGUACUCACCAUUUUCCCGAGAAAAUGUCGAGGUAGAGAGAAAUGGCGAGAAAAUCUAGGGCUCAGAGAGAGAGAGAGAGAGAGAGAGAGAGAGAUGGAUAGGCCUAACGGUGGGGAGAGGGCAGCGAGUCGCGCCUUGAAAAUAUGGAAGGCCUUCGCGGUCGGUAGCUCCUGCUAAUAUCACCGUGGUCGGUGAUCCAACCAUACGAGGACACGUGUUGUACGUUGUUGAAUAGCGUGCAAUGCGAGGGAUGGCAUGUCCCUUUACGUCUAAUGUGGGUUACUUGGGGGCUGCUACGACUUCGUUUGCCUUCAUGGAUUUGGCCCAAAAUAGUUCCUGGUCCAACAUUCCAUGCAUGUUUUUUUAUUUUUUUUAUUUUAUACAAACGAUAUUGAGAAAUCGGGAAUUAAACUUAAACACAUGACUUUGAUGAAACUAUAUUUAAGCUAAAAGGAGAGUACCUGCAUAAUUUUUUUUUACUUAUUUGGUUAAAUUGUGUUUAUAUUACAAAGGAAAAAGGGUCUCAUUUUAAUUUAUGACCUUGAAUCACUCAAAAAUGUCACGACUGACUUACUUUUUGUUAAAGAACUACUUGUACAUCUUUUCAUCUCGUGUUUGAUCAAAAUAGCCAAUCUUUUUGUUAAAGAAUCACUUGUACAUCUUUUCAUCUUAACAUUCGAGCUUUGUUCUUACUCUCUUUGAUAUCGAAUAAAAGGAGUAUGAAAUGAUGUAAUAUUAGGACUUGCCCAUAAAACCGAAGCUACUCAACACAUCACCUUUUGUUAUAAUUAAGUAACAAAGUGGGGCAAAGGGACCUCUCUUUGGUUCAAGAUUAAUAUUCUCUCAAUUCCCUCUUCAAAUCAACUCUAAGAAGGAAGGGAUUAAAAUUCUAUAGUUCAAAAUAGUUGGGCUGGUGUUUAUAGAUCAGUACAAGUUAUUAGCUAUGACAAUUUUUCUUGAUGUAGCAGCAUGAUCAACACCCUCUUCCAUGGUCACUUUCUGAGUAACAGAUACAGGAACCAAACAAAGGCCUUUGCUUCUGAGGUCGAGCACCUGCCGGCUCCCACAUUCCUGUUCACAAUUCCCAAUAUAAUUUGUAAGGAAAAAAAUUCAGGGUUAGAGGGUAGAAAAACUUGUGUGAAAUGGUAUGACGAGUGAAAAAGUUAUCAUGCGUAGAAUAACGUGAUUAGCCGGGAUAGCAAAACAGUGCUAUCCCCGUUCCACGCACAAAUUUAAGUGAUUGCCUACCUGUGUGUGAAGAACUGCAGCAUUCUUGUAUGAACUACUAAACAUCCUUAGCAGAUUCUGCUAAAAAAAAAAUUAAAAACAAAAACAAAACCCAAGAAACAAAUUAGCACUAAAAUUUAUAUGCAGCAUAAAGAAGUGAAGAUAUUGUUAGGUCUAUAUAAACCUGAAUUUGUUCUUGAAGUAGCAUGAUAUAAAUGGAAGCCUCUUGAAGAACUGAGGCAGUGUCAGUCUGCAAUGAGUUCAGAAGCCUAAUGUAAUUAAUUUGCAGAAAAACAAUAUUUUUUCUAUAAUUAGAAAUCUAGAUAUAAUUUUUUUUUGUAUAUUCUGCAAACUGCUAACCUUGCCAUAGGGGGAAACCAGUUUCUGAAGAACCGUGAUCUUGUCACUGAGCUUUUGGCUUCUUCUCACAGGCGCAUGCAACUUCUGGCAAAAGCAGCAAAAGCUCAACAACAAGGCCAUAAUAACUUAAAUGAAGAGAUAAAUUAAUGUUAAAUUAAUUUUGUUUAACAGACCUUAUUGUUUUGUUGUUGCAUUGAGGUUUCUUGGAACUGUUGAUGCCAUUGUUGUUGAGAAUUUGUCACCUUGCUUCUCUUAUUUUGGUUCCAUUCGUUUAGAGCUGUCUUGUCACCAACCAGACCACCAAGGUCAUCAACCUCAAUUGGACGUUUCCUUGCAUUUUGUAUGGCCUGGAAAUCCUUCAAGGGAACAAAAAGAAAAAAACCAGAAUAAAAUUAGUUCUAGGAUUUGUUAUCACCUCAGUUGUAUUAUUGUAUAAAUGUGUGGUCCAAAUUGAUAAUCGAACAAUAGAAGAUGAAUGAUUGUCUUGUUACCGAAUUUACUUUUCGUAUUUUAACUUAAACAUACAUAAGUAUACAGUUGUCAACUGUUGAUUUGUGUGAAACCUAUCGUGACACCCAUAUCAACAACUAACAAUCAUGUGAAGUAAAUCGCUUGAUAUUUGAAGUGAAUUGGGAAGUCUUGCUAGUUUUUUAUUAAAAUCUUAGCUACCAACUAAAGAAGAUCAACAUACUGCUUCAAAUUGGGGAGCUGAAAUCUUCUUGUCCAGCAAGACUGGCUGCUGGGAAACACCAUCAUGGUAUCUGAAUGCACCAGAUGGAUAAGCUGCAAUCAAAGAAGGUAAUUCAUUAAACCCAGAGUUCUUGCGAGUCAAUUAUUAGAGUUUACUAAAUUACAAAAUGUUUGAUGAGGGUAGGUGGCAAGGACAAGAAAAACUGGGGAAAAAAAAUUUAAAAUUAGGCCAAAUUAGAAAAGUUGUUCCUCAAAACAGAAACAUAUGGAUAGGGAAAUAAACCAAACCUGGUUGAUAAGCAAGGAGGGAUGAUGACUGCAGAGGAAGAGGAAGAGGAAGAGAAAAGUCGUCUCCAGCUCUGCUAUUUUGGUUGUCACUUUCGAAUGCCUUGGACCCCAUGUAAAACCCACUGCCAUAUUUGCCAUGACCAAUUAACUUCAGUUUCUUUUUUUUCUUGAAAGAAAGAAAGAAAGCAGAAGAGAAGGUUGCAUUAUUGUAAGUGGGGUUGGGGGCCUAAUUAACUUAUUUUGUAGAGGCAGCAUUUGGAUAAACUGUGAUUGUACAAUUACUUUAAAUGAUCCCAAUAAUGGUUUUGAUAUACUUUGUUGUGAAGUAUUGAAGAGAAGAUAAAUCAGUAAAUCAAAGCUAAGCUUACCAAGAGAGGUGAAUUCUAAAACAUUUUCUACUGCUGGAGGGACGAUUAUCAGUCCCGAGAUUUUUUUAUUUUUAAUUUUUUAAAGACAUUUUCUAUUAAGAAAUGCGAUAACAUAUUAAAUCACUACACUAGUAUGGAAUAUUGAUGCAUACAAUUACUUUUUCAAACUUAUUUGUACAUUUGAAAGAUAUAGAAACUAUGGAAAAAUAAUCCCUGAUCAUUUUAAAGACUGGUAUAAUUUUUAAAGACUGGUUCAUAUGAUUUCCAUUAAAAAAAAAAUUGGGAUACAAUUUUGAAAGGGAAAAAGACUACUUACAGUCUUCUGUUCAUGUUGACUUGAGCAUCCCAAUUUGACAUCUGAACUUCAAUAUUGUUUCCUGAAGACACAAAACAAUCACUGGAUGGUUACGUAGAACCAUCUUCAUCAUAUACAAGUUUCUGCAGAGCCCAAAUGCCCUUGUGGUCAAAUUAAACAAUAUCAAUCUAUGCUAAUUAAGAUUUGUAAAUUGUAAUGAUCAUUACCAAAGUUGUAAAGAUGGAAGGGUACAGAUGGAAGAAGAGCGUUUCUCAUUGAGCCCAACAAAUCCACUUCUGCAGAGACAGAUAGCCCUUCUGUUGAUGUUUGCACACACAGAUCAGAAAAGCCUUAUCUUGCCAAAGUGAUCCUAUCAACUUCUAAACACAGAAAAUGAAAACACAUAAAAUAAAAUAAAAAACCGAAGUUGUCAAAAAUGUUGUCUAAUUGGAAGCACAAUGCAUGCACACAGAAAAUGUGGCCUUGGAGUUUCGUUAAAAUUCUUAAUCAAACUAAAAAUCCAGCACCAAGCACGAUCGAAAGAACGAAAAUAAAAUCCCAGUAUACCAAGAAAAAGUUACCCAAGGAAGCAUUGAUUCAAAGAAACUAAUUAGCCCCAAAAAAACCAAAAACUUUAAAUAUCAAACUGGAUUAAGAAAUACACAAGUCAGAACUGAAAUGGCAAGAUUUGGAGCCCAAGAUUACUCUGAAAACAUGAUUCAGAACCGACUGAAUUCUCACCUCUGAUCUCAAAAAACUCUAAACUAGGAAGGGUUUGCCAGUGAAAGAGCCAAGACCAAUGAGAUGAGAAUUUGUCCAAAGGUGGAGGUAUAUAUUCUGCAGUGGAGGUGUGAGCUUCGGGCUCCUUUUGAGUGUAGCAACGGUUCUUAUCCUUAAAGAGAAAACGUUGGGAAGACAAGGUUAUAUGUAAUUGGUAAGAAACUGCAUGAUCAUGAAAGGAAUAUGAAACGUCCAGAUGACUCAGAACCUUAAAUUAUAUAAUGCCAUGGGGCGGCUCUCUCACUCUCUCUCUCUCUCUCUCUCUCUCUCCCCCUAGCUACCAAGUUAUCUGUUUGCUUUCGCUAUCACUUAACUUGACUUGCUUUCUAUUAAUAAUAUGCCUCGAAAAUGACUGGUUUUUUUUUUCCAGCAAUUGAUUUGUAUAAAUUUAAUCACGCUGCCAUAGUCAAAGCUUAAUCGUAUAUGUACAAACAAGAUGAUGGAAAGUUAGAUAAAUGAGUACAUGUUGACUCGGUUUCUGUUCUGUUCCAAACUCUGCAUCAUACACAGUUUUAAGUUGAUCCUUUUUUUUUAAAGCUAUAAACUACCAAAGAUUCGAUUAGUUCCGUGUGAUUACACCACCGUACGUAAUGUUACUAAUUCACUUCAUAAUAUUAUGCAACAACAGACUGUCACACCUAAGAGGGAACUGCAAAAUGAGGGAUAUACAGUGAGAAGCUAACAAUUUUGGGUCACUUACUGAAAUGAAAUAUGGGGUUUAAAUUUUGGUCAUUGCUCUGUUUUUGGCAUUUGUGAGAAAUCAAUCCAGAUCAUAUAUGUUUGUUUCCGGAGUCUGUCACGUGAACGAGUCUCAGAAGCCAGUUCUAAUUUGGAUAUAACAGCUAGAGAAAACUGGCUAGUUAUACAACUUUGGAAGUCUCAGCUGGUAAGCGAAGGAGGUCAGAUUUGCUACUUUAGUACUUGGUCUAAUUUAUCUGCUUUAGCUGGUACUUUUGAAAAUGAAAUGUUAUAAGUGUGUACAAACAAAAUACCAUAAAGCCAUCUUAAUUAGUAGAUCAUGAAUAAGCCAAGGCUGAUCAAUAUGAAAAGAGAGAACGUUAAUGUAAAAGGUAUACACCUGUGACAUGUAAGUUUCUCUCGAACGUUAACGUCAAAGGUAUACACCUGUGACAUGUAAGUUUCUCUCGAACGUUAACGUAAAAGGUAUACACUGCAUAACAUAUAUAAAUUUCUCUCAUUGCCCAUAGUAAGAUAAAAAGAACUCAUAAAAACCAAGAAUUAUAUGCAAGUCAAGAAUACAGAUAAACAAACCUCUCCUAAUGUACUUUGUCUUCCAGUGCCUAGGCUCAUCGAAGCUUAAGUUUGACCUCUUCCUACUAUGGGGUUGACCAAUGUUCAUACCCCAUACAAAUGUACCUGUAGAACUGCAAAUUAACAGCAUCAUCAUCUUAUAUAUAUAUAUAUAUAUAUUACUUUUAAUUAAUUUCCUUUGCAACUGCAAGUAGUUCUUGUUUGGUUGGUGAUUCUCGGACCGUCCUUGAUGUUAAUUCUUAAUUAAUCCUAUAUUAAUUAUCAAUAAUUUAGUUCAUAUAAGAUAAUAAAGUAAAUAUUAGCACGACUAAAUAAAGUCCUAUAACUGUUGUUAUCUUGAAAUCUCUACAUGUUAUGUUUUUUUCUGUUUUUAUUCUCCGGAAAAUUAAAUAAUUAUAAAUAAAUAAAAACUAAGUCAGCCUCCUGUCUUUGGUGUGCAAAAUAUUAACAAUCCUCAAAGCGACUACGUGAUGACAUGUGGACAAUUGUUCAGCGUCCAAUGUGAUAAUCAAGUUGGAGUAAUUUGCAUGGUUUGAGUCUGUGACUGCAGAAAACAAACCUUAUUCUUAUGUUGUUAUUUGAGGGAGAGUUUAAAAAUAAAAAAUAAAAACAUUAUGGUUGACCAGGUGGAAAUUCGGGAGGUCAAAGUAGGAGAUUGUCAUUUAGGUCUUGUUUUCAACCUUGAAAAAAUGAGUUGAAAUUCAUUUACAUGAAUGAGUCUUCUUCCCCAUGCAAAUAUAUUAUUAUGAGAUUUUGCAUGGUCUACGGUUUGGGUGUAUAUUUUAAUGAGCUUUGUGAAUCUAUACGGUCUGUAUUUUUAUGAAGUCAAUCCUCUCUCUCUCUCUCUCUCUCUCUCUCUCUCUCAAAUCGAAAUCCAAUUUAUUAUAAGUUAGCCAUAUGAAUGAAUCGUCAUGUUUACGAUAACCAUUUGCAGGCCUUUAUAUAAAAGGAAAUGCUACUUCGCAUGCACAUAUAAUUAGUGUUCUAGAAACAAUUAAUAAUUCUAUGUUAUUUUGAAGUGAAUAAUAACCACAACUUAAUUUGGUUUUGUUGCCGAAGUUUGGAAGGGAGAGUAGGAAAAACUCACACACAGGUAUCAUGAGAGGUUUAAAAAAUAGAGAAUUGUGAAUGAUACAUAAAAAAGUUAUUAUGGACUUGUUAAAAUGCAACUUUUCUCUAACAUUUUCAUACGAGAGGAAUGCAUGAUGACUUUUUAAUGUUAAUAAUUUGUUGAAACAUAUUAUAAAAAGUAAAGUUUUAUAUUUAUUGUGACAUAAUAAAAUGGGACUAUAAACUCAUAACUAUAUCACUUAAUUUAUUCCUCAAUCUCAGACAAAUCAUAGUAGUAAUCUAUUCACCAAUUUCAAUCUCCUUUAAUAACCAAAUACAAAUACAAGUACCCAAUUUGGGCUGCAUAAUUCCCGCCCGAGCUUUAAUGGGGCCGUUGCAUGAAGACAAUGGGCCUGACAGCGAAUUCGAUCCUAAGGAAACGACGACGUGUUGAACCAAAUAAGGGUCCGUAAGGGCAAUUCAGUAAAAGGCGCCCUCAUUCCCACCAAAUAUAUGUGCUCGGUUUCACUAACUCGUUCCUUCUUAAGCCCUAGAAACCCUAGCUCUCGGAGGCGCCUCUGCUGAUAUUGCGCAUCUUUUCUGGUACGUGAAGACUUCACUCUAAAACUUCAUUCUCUUCAUCAAUAAGUGAAACUGUUUCGAUCUGUGUUCCUUUUGAGGCUCUUAUUUGUUCAUGUAUGACCCUUUUCAUUUAUUUUGGAUGAUUUUUUGAGGUGUAGAGUUGAUCCUAACACAUCUAGAUCUAUUGGAUAUUGCUUUGAUCAAUUUGGUUUCAAAUAUGUUUUGAUUAGGCGCCUGUGUAGUUGUGAUUUAUGAUUUGAUGUGUUUCUCUGGAUUGAAAUGCUGAAACUUUUUUUCUGCUCAAGGCCAAUUGUUUGUUUUGUGUUUUAUUUUUGUAGGAAUAGAUGUUCUGGAAUUGGGUUUAACAAAUUAUGAGUCUUAAACAAACCACAAUAGUUGUUUAUUGAAUCUUGAUUAAUAUGUUUGACCCAGCUAGAAAUGGGAAAAGGGAUCAAACUACCAAUAUGGUGGUUGAUUGCGUUUAUUAUAUAAUUAGUUAGACUGUAAGAUUUGACAAGUGAAUCUGUGUAAUUCUGGUCCCAUUGAGUAGGAACACAUUGAAAUGAGGUUUCUAGUUACAUGUUUCUGUUUGUCUCAUUUGUUUUACUUGAUUUUUUUGGGUGCAAAACCCGAUGAUCUUAAUGAAUUCUUUUUAUAACAUGCAGAAGCGACAAUGGUGAGAGUUAGCGUUCUGAACGAUGCGCUCAAGAGCAUGUACAAUGCAGAGAAAAGGGGCAAGCGCCAGGUCAUGAUCAGACCAUCAUCCAAGGUCAUCAUCAAGUUUCUUUUGGUGAUGCAAAAGCAUGGUAUGUAUCUUUUAUUUAAUUCUUAUAUUCGCCACUUAAAUAAUUUCCCAGUUGUUUCUUAGUUGAAAAUUUUCUGAUUAUAUAGACAUUUAUGCUUUUGUUUCUCUCUAUAGGAUACAUUGGUGAGUUCGAGUAUGUUGAUGACCACAGGGCUGGUAAAAUUGUGGUCGAACUGAAUGGACGGCUUAACAAAUGUGGGGUUAUCAGCCCUCGUUUUGAUGUGGGUGUUAAGGAGAUUGAAGGCUGGACUGCAAGAUUGCUUCCAUCUAGACAGGUUAGCCAGUUGUUAUCAGUUAACUAUUUCAAGCCUAGAAACGUGUAUAUUUCUUGAUGGGUUCCUGUUGAGUAAUAACAUUGUAGUUUGGAUUCGUUUAACAUGUAUAUUUUUUCAAUUAAUUUUUAGAAUGUAGAAAGAUGUGCAGGAUUAGGUCAUUAUAUUUGGUUGAUCAUGUUAGUGGUGGUGAUUCAUAUAGCUCUGUAGUUGGUUCCCAUUUGAAUCAAACGUUGAGAUAUCCUGUAAUAUGGUUAAUGUGUUAUAGUAAUCUAGAACCCUUAUAUCGAUUUCUAGUCUGGUUUGGAUGUCUCAUUUGAUUCCCUUAUUAUAUCGAUUUCUAGUCUGGUUUGGAUGUCUCAUUUGAUUCCCUUAUUGCGUUUCAUGGUGUGCAACUGUGUCAUUGUGCACAUAGCUUAUUCUGCUGGGCUUAUGGUUUUUUGCUUGAACUUGCAGUUUGGAUACAUAGUGCUGACAACAUCUGCUGGCAUUAUGGAUCAUGAGGAGGCUAGGAGAAAGAAUGUUGGUGGUAAAGUGCUUGGUUUCUUUUACUAGGCAAGGUUUUUUCCAGGAAUGAGAAUUGAGUUUUCCCGCUAAUGAAGAGCUUUUGGGUGUACUUUUGAACAUCAUAGGUUACUUCUAUGUUUCAAUUUGUGUUUGUUUUGAAUGCUAAUAGAGGUUUUUACUGGAAUGUUAUUUGCUAGAAUUUAUCUUUAAGUGUUUGGUUAUCCAUAGUGCAUCUGGUGGUUGUGGCCUCAGUCUUAAAUUAUCUUAUGAAAUCCAACAUUUUUGCAUCCCGCAGAAUAAUUUUGAAUGGCUAGGUUUUUAUCGCAAUAAUGAAUGAAUAGAAGUUGUUGUGUUGCAGGCGGUGCUUUGUUUUCUGCAUGUCAUGUAGAGACGUUACUUUUCCGGGUUUUAAUGGUAUUUGCUUAUGCAUAUGGUUUUCAAAAAGGAAAUUAGCAUCUCCUUACCGAUCAGUUAUCUGCUAUUUAAAUGCGGUGCAGUAUGACUACAAUUUCUGUUUCCCUUGCUGUCUACUACAUACAUUUCUUGGGUGGGCUUGAGAAUUAUAAGAGCCGACGAAUUUUAUUUUUUUGGCUUCAAAGUCAGAGAAUAAAAAAGAUUUUAUUCAUGUUGUAAUGAUUCGUUCUCGAGGUUGUUGUCAACCUUUCCACAAAGUUUCGUCAUGGUCAAGUUUGGGUAAUCAAAAUUGCUUGUGCAGACUGUAAAACCAUCCAAUUACUGAUACGUCUUCAGUUUAAAUGACAUGGGAAAUGAUUUCUCAUCCAAUCCUGUCCAUAAAUCAAACAAGACCUAAGAUUAGGCGGGCAAUAAUCAGGGACGUUCAAAUUCCAAUCCAUUGUGUUCAAGCAACUAAUUCGUCUGCUAUUUUUGUUUCAAUGAUUCAACAGCGAGUAAUUCGAUCUGUUAUUUAAUGUUUUUUUGGUCUAACAUGGGAUUCUCAGCUUAAAUGGUUAAGAGCUUACAAGGGACUUGGGGGAGCUUAAGCUUAUGCAUGCGACAUGGUUUUGUUUAUUUUUUUUCUUCAUCUUCUUCAAGGUUGGUUUAAGGUUGGCAAUUAGCUUUUUUAGAAAGGAGGGGAAGGGGACAAGAGUGAUAACCAUCAAAUCAUACAACUACUUUUUUUCGUGCUUCAUGUCCUCUUAACAUCAUUAUUUGCAUCGCUUUCAACCUCUACUCAAUUAAUGGUCCGCAUGGAUCUUAGACAUCCCACAAUUAAAGAUUCAUGCUGUGGUUAAUAUAAACACAAAAAAACACACUAUAUAUAAAAAUUAUUACAAAAUUACAUACAAACCCAAGAGAGAGAGAGAGAGAGAAAAAAAAAAAAAAGGAAAGAAGAGAGAGAGAGGAGUUAUGUAACGUUUGAGAAUACAAGAGAGAGAGACUACAUGAACCAGCCGAAGAUCUUUAUUAGGAGGAGAGAAUGCUAAUGAAAUAGCAUUAAGGGAAAGAGAAACACAAAGAGAAACACACACUUGUUGAAAAACUGCCAAAGAUCUGUAGUUGCCCUACCAUCAAAUCAAAGCCAACAUGACUUGUUCAAGUUUCAAUUAGCUAAGCUUUCUUUGUCGUCUGCACUGCAUCAUCAUCGUCGCCUUUGUUGGUAGUAGUAGUAGUAGCAACAAAACCACCAACUUCACCACCGACGGUAUCACCGCCGCUCCCGACUUCCAUCGGUGGCCGGACGACGAAGAAGUAGCAGAGAUGAAUGAGAUGAUGCAGAAGCAACAAGACGAGAGAAUGUGUUGUUGAUAGAUGUUGGAAGAGGUUACAAAGAAAGAGCAAUGUGUUGUGACGUUUUGUAGGUGCAGGGAAGGUGGGUGGAGGAUCUUCUCAGCAUAUGCUCUAAGCAUAACUUCCUUUUGUGUUCCUUUCUAUAGUACCUUUUUCCUCACUGUUCAUUGUUUUCAAUUACUCUUUAUUAUUUUUUAUUUUGGCUACAGUGUUCCUAACUCUUGAUCCAAC